This 442-nucleotide ribosomal RNA is filed under the name uncultured bacterium. RNAcentral describes it as "partial 16S ribosomal RNA". It matches the Rfam family "Bacterial small subunit ribosomal RNA", at positions 338 to 795 of the family's 1533-position model. The record is from RNAcentral.
CCUACGGGUGGCAGCAGUGGGGAAUAUUGGGCAAUGGGCGCAAGCCUGACCCAGCAACGCCGCGUGAAGGAAGAAGGCUUUCGGGUUGUAAACUUCUUUUAAGCGGGAAGAGCAGAAGACGGUACCUCUUGAAUAAGCCACGGCCAACUACGUGCCAGCAGCCGCGGUAAAACCGAGGUGGCAAGCGUUAUCCGGAUUUACUGGGUGUAAAGGGAGCGUAGACGGUUCUGCAAGUCUGAAGUGAAAGCUCGUGGCUGAACCGCGGAACGGCUUUGGAAACUGUGGAACUGGAGUGCUGUAGAGGCAAGCGGAAUUCCUAGUGUAGCGGUGAAAUGCGUAGAUAUUAGGAGGAACACCAGUGGCGAAGGCAGCUUGCUGGACAGUAACUGACGUUGAGGCUCGAAAGCGUGGGGAGCAAACAGGAUUAGAUACCCGUGUAGUC